This 405-nucleotide ribosomal RNA is filed under the name uncultured bacterium. RNAcentral's name for it is "partial 16S ribosomal RNA". It matches the Rfam family "Bacterial small subunit ribosomal RNA", at positions 30 to 526 of the family's 1533-position model. The record is from RNAcentral.
AUUGAACGCUGGCGGCAGGCUUAACACAUGCAAGUCGAACGAGUGGCGGACGGGUGAGUAAUGCUUGGGAAUCUAGCUUAUGGCGGGGGAUAACUACGGGAAACUGUGGCUAAUACCGCGUACCAUAGGAUGGGCCGAAGUGGGAUUAGGUAGUUGGUGGGGUAAAGGCUCACCAAGCCGACGAUCCCUAGCUGGUCUGAGAGGAUGACCAGCCACACUGGGACUGAGACACGGCCCAGACUCCUACGGGAGGCAGCAGUGGGGAAUUGUGCGCAAUGGGGGAAACCUGAUGCAGCCAUGCCGCGUGAAUGAAGAAGGCCUUCGGGUUGUAAAGUUCUUUUGGUAGAGAGGCGUUAUCUACAGAAGAAGCACCGGCUAACUACGUGCCAGCAGCCGCGGUAAUUC